This 413-nucleotide long non-coding RNA is filed under the name Homo sapiens (human). RNAcentral's name for it is "long non-coding RNA NONHSAT168589.1". Lineage: Eukaryota; Metazoa; Chordata; Mammalia; Primates; Hominidae. The record is from RNAcentral.
AGGCAAAAGGGCAUCCAAAUGGAGGCUAAUGAGUGCAUCCCAAAAUGCUGGUCCAACAUGAUCAAUACAGACUCCUUGGCUGGAUUCUCAGAAAUAUGGAUUCCAAUGCAAAAGGUCAAAGGCAGAAGGAUGGCAUGAAGAGAAACCUCAAAGGCAGAAGAUUUGUUGUUAAGAAAGGUGGACCAGAACUUUGUGGAAUGUACCUGGGGACUCCCUAGAGAACUUGUGUUCCAGGGCCUCAUCCAACCUAGAAAGGAGAGAGAACCCUGAAGACCUCUGCUCCUUUCCAUUGGUGUCUUAUUCUGUCUGUGAAAUUAGCAUAAUGAUGAUAACCUUUUUGAGGUGGUUGCGAAGAUGAAGGUGGGGAAGAUUGGAUUAUGGGGUAGGAUUACAGAUGGUGCCCCAAAAUUAUU